Molecule: transfer RNA, 67 nt
Filed under: Marmota monax (woodchuck)
Lineage: Eukaryota; Metazoa; Chordata; Mammalia; Rodentia; Sciuridae
Description: tRNA.Ala
Rfam family: tRNA
About the family: Transfer RNA (tRNA) molecules are approximately 80 nucleotides in length.
Source: RNAcentral
GGUUGUGGCUCAGUGGUAGAGCACUUGCCUAGCAUGUGUGAGGCUCUAGGUUUAAUUCUUAGCACCA